Long non-coding RNA from Rhipicephalus microplus (southern cattle tick), 364 nucleotides. NCBI's taxonomy places the organism in Eukaryota, Metazoa, Arthropoda, Arachnida, Ixodida, Ixodidae. The record is from RefSeq and is a predicted model, not a curated record.
AUAAUACUUGGGGUUGAACAUCCUGAAAUCGCAAUACGAUUAUGAGGGACACCGUAGUUCACUGAAGGGCCCCAGAAAUUUCAACCACCUGGGGUUCUUAACGACACCUAAAUCCAAGUACAUGAGCCACAGACAUUUAUGCCUCCAUCGAAAAUGCAGCCACUGCAGCUGGCAUUCCACUAUGCGACUUUUGGGCCAGCAGGCUACUUCUUUUGUGAAUCCACCAGGACUAGAGAGAAGAGGAGAUAGAAAAAAAUCGGGGUCAAGGGAGAGGACGGACAGCAGCAGCCCGAGAAAGUGGAUGUUCGAGCUACUGAACUGAUGGAGGUUUUCGCAAUGUAAAUAAAUUAGUUUUGCUAAGUUG